GGGACGAACGCUGGCGGCGUGCUUAACACAUGCAAGUCGAGCGGUAAGGCCUUUCGGGGUACACGAGCGGCGAACGGGUGAGUAACACGUGGGUGAUCUGCCCUGCACUCUGGGAUAAGCCUGGGAAACUGGGUCUAAUACCGGAUAUGACCUGCUCUCGCAUGGGGGUGGGUGGAAAGAUUUAUCGGUGCAGGAUGGGCCCGCGGCCUAUCAGCUUGUUGGUGGGGUAAUGGCCUACCAAGGCGACGACGGGUAGCCGACCUGAGAGGGUGACCGGCCACACUGGGACUGAGACACGGCCCAGACUCCUACGGGAGGCAGCAGUGGGAAUAUUGCACAAUGGGCGAAAGCCUGAUGCAGCGACGCCGCGUGAGGAUGAAGGCCUUCGGGUUGUAAACCUCUUUCAGCAGGACGAAGCGCAAGUGAACGGUACCUGCAGAAGAAGCACCGGCUAACGUACGUGACUAGCAGCCGC
This 475-nucleotide ribosomal RNA is filed under the name uncultured soil bacterium. RNAcentral's name for it is "bacterial SSU rRNA". It matches the Rfam family "Bacterial small subunit ribosomal RNA", at positions 27 to 518 of the family's 1533-position model. The record is from RNAcentral.